UUAAGAAUUAGGUAAUACAAUCCUAAGCAAUAUUCACUCCGAUAAACGGGCCUAACAAGGUAGGUCCACUAGAAUAAUAUAAAUAGCACGCAUCCCAAAGAGUAAGGUAUGUCAUUUAUUAUUGUUCACCUACCUGAGAGCUAACCACCCGCUUUAUUGACUUGAGCGUCGGAGUGCCUUCGCAGGUACCCCACCAUUCGGUGUUCACCCGAGACCGAGUGCCAAAGGAGAAGCAAGAGGACGAGAGGACUCCCAGCUCAUCGCCUAGUAACCUGACCGAUCGAAGGAAGGAGAAGAAAACUUCAAUAGUUCUCUAGGUCUCAUUUCCCUAGUAGGAACAAAACCCUUAUAAACAUAAAUAAUUUUUUGAAGUUAUGGAAAAUUGCUUAAAUCACUCAUAUUAAGUUUAUAUUUUUUUGAAAAAUAAUGUGGUAGAUACCAUCAUUAUUAUGUUGAAAAUACAAGUGACACGAAAAAAAGAAUAAAAGACGGAAACCAUUGGCAUUUAAUGGUGAUUAAUUCGUAUUGGAUUAAGACAUAAAGUCCUAAAAAAACAAAUAGACAUGUUUCCACUUCUCAUAAUUAAAAUUUGUAAGAUUUUGGUGUGAUGAUAUGGUGAAUUAACGUAGGAAUAAUGGUUAUUAAUACGACAAGACCAACCAAGAAAGAUAUUGUUGAAAAAUGUGAGAUAAUAGUGGGAUUGUCACAAACACAAUACAAAAAUAAUAGUUGAGUUGUAGAAGUGUAGAAGGAGAUGCACGAGUUGUUAAUAAUUGAGACAUUAUUAGUACCUAAAAGUUCAUCUUAUAUUUUAAAAGAACCAACAAUAUUUUUUUCUUCUCCUUUUUCCACCCACCAUGCUCUAUCUCAAGCAUUAGUUGGAGAACUUCACUUGGUGCAUGCUUACAUACAACUAAUUUAACUUUUUUCAUCAAGAUAUUAUUACUUUAUUUUACUUUUCUUUUAAACUUCCUAAAAGUUUACAUGAAAAUAAAUAAAUAAAAUAAUCAAUUUUAUCAAGAUUUUUUAUUUUGAGAAAUAACGUAAGGAUGAAAGUUAUUCGACACCAGUGAGGUGAGGUUUGCACCCACUUAUAUAUUGUGAAAGACUCUAAUCUCUAGUCGUUGUGGAAUUUUCAACACAGUUUAAAUAUUUCAUAUAAGAAAAUUAAGACACUAUUUGCAAUUCAAAAUCUGAAAAUAAUGAGUAUACAUGUCUUCUAAAUAAUCAGAUUAUAAAUAAAUGAUACUAAUGUUAUGUUGUAUUUGUAGAGAUUAAAAACGCAGAAAAAAAAUCUCAUUAAAACAUAUUUCUCCUUAUUUGGUUUUAAAAUUUGAAAUAAAAAAAUUAAAAGAAAAAAAAGUAAACCAUAAUUUUCUAUACAAAAUAAAGAAUUUACAUUAAAAUUAUGUUUUACAUAUUUUAUUAAUAUUUUGAAAAAUCGAUUGUACUUAUGUGUAAAUUUACGUAUAUUUAUAUUACAUUGUUUAUUUGGAUUUAUGUUACAGAUCGUAUUUACGUAUACUUAUAUUAUAUUGUUUAUUUAUAUUUAUGGUAUAUAGUUAUUAUAUAUCUUUUAUAAUUAUACCAUAAAUAAUAAAAUAUUAAGUUUUAAUUAUUAUAAUAAUAAAUAAAGAAAAUCAAAUUUAUGGAUAAUAAAUAAAUUUAUUUUACUUUUUACUUAUUUUCAUCUAAUUCAAACGAUUUCAUAUUUUUUUCACUUUCUAUCUCCAAGCCAAAAUAAAAAUUAAAUGAGUCCUAUUUCGCAUUUUGAUGAUAAUAUAGUUGGUGACUUUAACUAANNNNNNNNNNNNNNNNNNNNNNNNNNNNNNNNNNNNNNNNNNNNNNNNNNNNNNNNNNNNNNNNNNNNNNNNNNNNNNNNNNNNNNNNNNNNNNNNNNNNUAAUAAUAUAUAUAUAUAUAUAUAUAUAUAUAUAUAUAUAUAAUAUAAUAUAAUAUAAAAUUCUUUUCUCUAAUGUAAAAACACAUAAUUUUAUACUAAUUUUACGUGAAAACUUUUUGUAAAAUAUUAUCUAAUCAUCAACAUAUAUUACCAAUAUUAUUAUUUUUAAUGUUGGAGAUCUCACAUCGACUUGAGAUUAGAACCUUUCAUUGUAUAUAAGUGGGUGCAAACCUCAAUUUCAUGAGCCGGUUUUAUGGGAUUGAGUUAAACUUAAAGUUUCAAUCCUAGCGAGUGUUUGUGUUGUGCCUAUCGUGCUAUCCGCUAUCGGAUCACCCAGAAUAUAUAUAGUCUCACGCACGAGUUGACAGUCUUGACAUGAGGGGGUGUGUUAUUCGAUCCCACAUCGACCCAGUAGAGAUAGAAUUCUACAAACCUAAUAUGAAAUUAGAUUGAUAUACUUAUGGUAGAUGUUAGAAUUAUACAUUAUUCACAUGUCAGAUUCCUCAAAAUUAGUAAAAAAAAUAGUUUGAUAAAUAAAGUGGAGAGAUCUUUAUUUUUGUAAUUUUUUAAAAAUUAUAUUAAAUUUUUUUUUUUAACUGGUGUCAUGGUUGGUGAAAAUACUUUUUUUUCUUGUAAAUUAGGCCAAAAUACUUAACUAAUAAUUUGUCUCUUUUGAAAAAAUAAAGAGUUUUUAUUCUAUGUUCUUACUGCUUACUGUUGUUUCUUCUGUCAUCUAUCCACUUUCUGUUCACGUCUAGCCCACAUCUCACCCACUCACAAAUGCCACAGACUGGGUUUGGGUUUGACUUCUUCUUCCUGCACCUCUACGUUUUUCUUCUUACACCCCCACAACUAAUAAAAUCUCAAAUUUGACCUUGAUCUUUUAUUUGAAAAAUGACACUGUGGUGGAGUUUAAAUAGACAACAUUACCUCUAUGAUUUAAAUAGACAACGGUUCUUUUUACAACACUAUCUAUCUAUACAUUCAUUUUAAUUUUAAAAGUGUCAUCGUGUUUUGAUAUAUAUGUUUCAGCACGUGUUUUGAUACACAUGUUUCAGCACACUUCCAGAUUGAUGAAUCCGUAGCACACUCCACCAUGGUGUCCUUUUCCAAAUAAAAGGUGAAGGCCAUUUUUGGAAUUUUUAAAAUUGUGAGGGUGCAGGAAGAAAAACGUAGGGGUGCAGGAAGAAGAAGCCCUCACAAAUACUCGCGGACUGGGUUUUACAGUUUCUACCACUUUGUUGGGCUACUCCUUAAGGCCCAGCCCAUGAUUAGAGUAACAAAAAAAUUUCCAGUUUUAAACUACAAAAGAUGGUUGCAAUAAAAAAAGAGAGAAAGGGCACGGAAAAGAGGAUAUAACAAAGUCACUCUUCCGAUGAAACUAAUCGGCGACGGAGCUGGUGGCCGGAAGCUCAUUGUCAGAGUAAAA
RNAcentral lists this long non-coding RNA (3331 nucleotides) under Phaseolus vulgaris (common bean). Its description in RNAcentral is "long non-coding RNA (PVUL_LNC001956)". The record is from RNAcentral. Lineage: Eukaryota; Viridiplantae; Streptophyta; Magnoliopsida; Fabales; Fabaceae.